AAGCUCUGCCAUCUAUCCUACAGCCACCCCCAUAUGAUUUCUGCAUCCAUGUCUUUAAGAUCCAAAGCACAUACCAAGAGCAGAUACCAGGAAGAGGCGGCCAGCUAGUUAACAACUAAGCAAAUAUUGUUCUCCUCUUUAUAUAUAAGUCAACUGACCCAUAAUUUUCCCUCAUAAAAUUCAGUAGGAUAUCAUAUGAUAUGGCACUUUUGCAAGAAAGCAAUACCCUUGUGGGUCUUGUUUUGCUCUUGUGCAUGACAUUAGAGGUUUCUUCACACAGCAGUCAUAUGCAGUAUACCCCUCCUAAUGUUACUCAUUUCACUGAUCUAUUUUCUCCUGUCUCAAUUAGUCAAGGAUUCUCUACAUUUUUUGGUGGCUCAAAUAUUAAGUUGCUCAAUAAUGGGUCUUAUGCAAAUCUUGCUCUUGAUAAAUCCUCAGGUAGAUCCAUUCCAUAUCCUGGGGCUAUGAGGUUUGUGUUUCUGAGUUGAUCUCAAUAUUGAUAUUUUUGGGUCUUUUUUCUGCAGGCUCUGGGUUGGCCUCAAAGAACAAAUAUUACUACGGUUUCUUUAGUGCUGCAAUAAAAUUGCCUGCUGGUCUAUCUUCUGGAGUAGUAGUAGCCUUCUAUGUAAGCUCUCUUUUCUUGCAUAGCCAUAGAAGUACAUUUACUUAUCUUUGAUGGAAUGAUUAUGGGAAAUCUUUGUUCAGAUGUCUAAUGCAGAUACAUAUCCACACAACCAUGAUGAGAUUGAUAUUGAACUUCUUGGUCAUGACAAGAGAAAUGAUUGGGUCCUCCAAACUAAUGUGUAUGCAAAUGGAAGUGUCAGCACUGGAAGAGAAGAGAAAUUCUAUCUCUGGUUUGAUCCAACAGAACAACACCAUCAUUACAGCAUCAUCUGGAACAGUCACCAUACAGUGUUUCUAGUAGACAAUGUACCAGUAAGAGAGUUUAUCCAUAACAGUGCCUUCUCUUCUGUGUACCCAUCAAAGCCCAUGUCACUUUAUGCCACUAUCUGGGAUGGUUCAGAGUGGGCAACCCAUGGAGGAAAAUACCCAGUUAACUAUAAGUAUGCCCCAUUUGUGGUUUCUUUUGCAGAAAUGGAAAUGACUGGCUGCAUUUACAAUCCAUCUGCUGCUUCAUGUUCUAAUAAGGCUGGUCCUUCAACCUUAGACCCUGUGGAAGGGCAAGAAUUUGUUAAGCUAUCAAAGGAUCAAAGUGUGGCCAUGGAUUGGGCAAGAAGAAAGCUCAUGUUCUAUUCUUACUGUAAUGAUAGAGCAAGGUUCAAGGUCCUGCCACCUGAGUGCAAAUAAAUGUGAUACAGU
This 1320-nucleotide unclassified non-coding RNA is filed under the name Hevea brasiliensis (rubber tree). The record is from RNAcentral. Lineage: Eukaryota; Viridiplantae; Streptophyta; Magnoliopsida; Malpighiales; Euphorbiaceae.